RNAcentral lists this ribosomal RNA (410 nucleotides) under uncultured microorganism. RNAcentral's name for it is "bacterial SSU rRNA". It matches the Rfam family "Bacterial small subunit ribosomal RNA", at positions 509 to 917 of the family's 1533-position model. The record is from RNAcentral.
CAGCCGCCGCGGUAAUACGUAGGGUGCGAGCGUUAAUCGGAUUUACUGGGCGUAAAGCGUGCGCAGGCGGCCCGUUAAGACAGGUGUGAAAUCCCUGGGCUCAACCUAGGAAUUGCGCUUGUGACUGGCGGGCUCGAGUACGGUAGAGGGGGGUGGAAUUCCUGGUGUAGCAGUGAAAUGCGUAGAGAUCAGGAGGAACACCGAUGGCGAGGGCAGCCCCCUGGGCCUGUACUGACGCUCAUGCACGAAAGCGUGGGGAGCAAACAGGAUUAGAUACCCUGGUAGUCCACGCCCUAAACGAUGGGUACUAGCCGUUUGGGGCGCGAUAGCGCUGAGUGGCGAAGCUAACGCGUGAAGUACCCCGCCUGGGGAGUACGGCCGCAAGGUUGAAACUUAAAGGAAUUGGCGGG